RNAcentral lists this ribosomal RNA (253 nucleotides) under uncultured bacterium. RNAcentral describes it as "partial 16S ribosomal RNA". It matches the Rfam family "Bacterial small subunit ribosomal RNA", at positions 524 to 776 of the family's 1533-position model. The record is from RNAcentral.
UACAGAGGGGGCAAGCGUUGUUCGGAAUUACUGGGCGUAAAGGGCGCGUAGGCGGCCCGCUAAGUCGAACGUGAAAUCCCUGGGCUCAACCCAGGAACUGCGUCCGAUACUGGCAGGCUUGAAUCCGGGAGAGGCAUGCGGAAUUCCAGGUGUAGCGGUGAAAUGCGUAGAUAUCUGGAGGAACACCGGUGGCGAAGGCGGCAUCCUGGACCGGUAUUGACGCUGAGGCGCGAAAGCCAGGGGAGCAAACGGG